ACGAACGCUGGCGGCGUGCCUAAUACAUGCAAGUCGAGCGAACCGAUGAAGAGCUUGCUCUCAAAGGUGAGCGGCGGACGGGUGAGUAACACGUGGGCAACCUGCCUGCAAGGAUCGGGAUAACUCCGGGAAACCGGGGCUAAUACCGGAUGAUGCAUUUCGCUGCAUGGCGGAAUGCUAAAAGGCGGCUUCGGCUGUCACUUGCAGAUGGGCCCGCGGCGCAUUAGCUAGUUGGGGAGGUAACGGCUCCCCAAGGCGACGAUGCGUAGCCGACCUGAGAGGGUGAUCGGCCACACUGGGACUGAGACACGGCCCAGACUCCUACGGGAGGCAGCAGUAGGGAAUUUUCCGCAAUGGGCGCAAGCCUGACGGAGCAACGCCCGCGUGAGUGAGGACGGCUUUCGGGUUGUAAAACUCUGUUCUUCGGGAAGAACGGCGGUCGGGUGAAUAGCCCGAUUGCGUGACGGUACCGAAGGAGAAAGCCCCGGCUAACUACGUGCCAGCCGCUGC
RNAcentral lists this ribosomal RNA (510 nucleotides) under uncultured bacterium. RNAcentral's name for it is "bacterial SSU rRNA". It matches the Rfam family "Bacterial small subunit ribosomal RNA", at positions 29 to 518 of the family's 1533-position model. The record is from RNAcentral.